AACGAACGCUGGCGGCAGGCUUAACACAUGCAAGUCGAACGCCCCGCAAGGGGAGUGGCAGACGGGUGAGUAACACGUGGGAACAUGCCCAAAGGUACGGAAUAUUCUCGGGAAACUGGGAGCAAUACCGUAUGUGCCCGAAAGGGGAAAGAUUUAUCGCCUUUGGAUUGGCCCGCGUUGGAUUAGCUAGUUGGUGGGGUAAAAGCCUACCAAGGCGACGAUCCAUAGCUGGUCUGAGAGGACGACCAGCCACACUGGGACUGAGACACGGCCCAGACUCCUAUGGGAGGCAGCAGUGGGGAAUCUUGGACAAUGGGCGCAAGCCUGAUCCAGCCAUGCCGCGUGGAUGAUGAAGGCCCUAGGGUUGUAAAAUCCUUUCGUUGGGGACGAUAAUGACGGUACCCAAAGAAGAAGCUCCGGCUAACUUCGUGCCAGCAGCCGCGGUAA
Molecule: ribosomal RNA, 447 nt
Filed under: uncultured bacterium
Lineage: Bacteria
Description: partial 16S ribosomal RNA
Rfam family: Bacterial small subunit ribosomal RNA
Source: RNAcentral